GAUGAACGCUGGCGGCGUGCCUAAUACAUGCAAGUCGAGCGAACAGACGAGGCGCUUGCUCCUCUGACGUUAGCGGCGGACGGGUGAGUAACACGUGGCUAACCUACCUAUAAGACUGGGAUCACUUCGGGAAACCGGAGCUAAUACCGGAUAACAUGUUGAACCGCAUGGUUCAUCAGUGAAAGACGGUUUUGCUGUCACUUAUAGAUGGAUCCGCGUCGCAUUAGCUAGUUGGUACGGUAACGGCUUACCAGGGCAACGAUGCGUAGCCGACCUGAGAGGGUGAUCAGCCACACUGGAACUGAGACACGGUCCAGACUCCUACGGGAGGCAGCAGUAGGGAAUCUUGCGCAAUGGGCGAAAGCCUGACGGAGCAACGCCGCGUGAGUGAAGAAGGUCUUCGGAUCGUAAAGCUCUGUUAGUAGGGAAGAACAAAUGUGUAAGUAACUAUGCACGUCUUGACGGUACCUAAUCAGAAAGCCACGGCUAACUACGUG
This 497-nucleotide ribosomal RNA is filed under the name uncultured bacterium. RNAcentral describes it as "partial 16S ribosomal RNA". It matches the Rfam family "Bacterial small subunit ribosomal RNA", at positions 28 to 507 of the family's 1533-position model. The record is from RNAcentral.